AUGGCGCUGGUGCCGAACCCAAGCCAACCGGGCCUCCGGAUCUACAAGCCGAGUUUCUCCUACUGGUACCCUUCGCUGGAGCAAGACUCCGAGUCCAGAUCUCAUCUGCUGCACAAGAUCGGCGCCUUCUACCGCAAGGCGCGGAAGCGGCUCCCGCGCAGCCAGCACCGCCGGCCGCAGGGCCUCUGCGUCGGCCUCCUCAACCCGGUCUCCAACAUCGUCAUCAACAGUCUCAUCUCCACCUGCAAGCGCAAGCGCGGCGGUGGAUCCAGUUGCUGCAAGGGUGUGCAAGACGACCUGGAGCGCCGCUCGCUUGACGCCCUGGUGGCGUUCCUCACCCGCUUGUUCCCCAACCUACCCGAGAGCCUGGCCUUGCACUACCUGCGCCUCGCCGACGCCGACGCCCUAGUCGCCGCCCGCGUCAUCGUGUCGCACCAUGGCAUGAAGAGAUUUGAUGACUCGGAGCCAGCCGUCCUGGACAUGGCCCCCAUCAAGUGUGCCGCACUGGCUGUCGGGUACCCCGACCCCGAUCGCCUCGUCCAUGCCUGGCGCAACAUCUCCGGCUGUAUUGACGACACUCUGCACCUGCUCGCCAUGUUGCACAAACCAUCGUCCGACUGCUCCCAUGGCACUAGCAAGCUCGCCAGGAUGCUUAAGACACCACCAUCCCGCCUCUCCUGCAUCAUUAGCAAGCUCACCAGGAUGCUUAACAAUGGACCAUCGCCCGGCUGUGAAAAAGACAUAUGGUGGGCAUGGCGGCUCGCGGCUUCUCGUCGCAGUCGUCCCUGCAGCGACCCGUACCUGCACACCGGCUUGCUCAGCCGGACGCUCCAGGACGCCAUCCACGGUUUUUACCUCCAGGCCCUCGCCUGGUUGCCAGCAGGCUCUAGCUUCCACCGCAGCCUGCUCAAGGCCGGCUACUGCUACGGCCCUCUUGAUCCCAUCUCAAACAUCAUCGUCAACACCAUCUGGUAUGACACUGCACUCCCACCUACCAUGAAACUCGAGCUGGACCUGGAUGUGAUCGGCACGCAGGGUCUCCACCGGGUGGAGAACCGCUCCUUGUAUGGCCUGGCCUCCUUCCUCUGCACACGCUAUCAUCGCUUCGAUUUCCAUCAAGCUCUGCAAUGCCUGGUCCAGGCAGAUGCCAACCUUGUGCUCGCCGAUCCCAACCUUGAACCUUCCACUCGCUCUGCCCCAUCCUUUGGAAUGGGGGGAACUGUGCUGAUGAGGUGCCGACCAGCUUCUUCCCCCCUUUGCAAUGUUGUUGAAGCUCAAGGCCCCCCGGACACCAGUCUAGAGGAAGCCUUCUUGGCCGCCGCGACUGCAGCCUCUCACCCCAUCCCGGACGCCCAAGUAAAGCUUCUCACUUCAUGUAAGGCGAUGUUAGAAUCUGCCUUGCCUCUGCUGCAGCAUGGCUCUGACAAGCUCUCUUAUCAAGAUGUUAAGCGGCUUGCCAUGUUGUUGUGUCCCGAAUCUGCCCAUGACUGCGAAAGGGCAUUUCUCCCACUCCCCCUCACGGUUUACCCCCUUGCAAAGCUAGCAGGCAUGUAUACAAGAAUCUCCAAGAAGGAUCCGAAAUUCGAGCUUCAUACGAUUUGUGGUGUGAAUGAUCGUGUCUGCGGCCCUACUUCCUUUCCUCCUAAGUAUGGCCACUCUCAUGUCAAUUUCGUGGCUACUCCCAAAAGCCCUUGUGGUGGUCCUGCGGCUUUGUUUUUUGCUGAAAUUAGCAACAAUGACCAAGACGACGAGUCCUUCUGUUGCCAUGUUGCUCUGCCUCCGCCAUGUGCUGCACAAAUUCGGUGUCUUUACUGUGAGUACAUUGGGACUAGAAUUGUGCAUCCAGCCGGGAUAGACUUCCAUGGGCGUGAGUCGGAGUUUGAGAAGAUGGCCUGCGGAAAAGACCCCCGUAACGGCGAAAAUGUUCCUCCAUGGAGGGCACCAUACUACAGCAACUCGCAAAUCAUCAACAAUAGGCGCAGCUUCGCAGAGAAUGUUUAUGGCAGAAAGAAAGAAGAUAGCCUCUAUGAUGACUUGGAUGAGCACAAGAGUGUGGAUCUGGGGUCCAUUAGUAUUCGACAACUAUUUUUAGAAAUCUAG
RNAcentral lists this ribosomal RNA (2100 nucleotides) under Triticum aestivum (bread wheat). Its description in RNAcentral is "partial small subunit ribosomal RNA". Lineage: Eukaryota; Viridiplantae; Streptophyta; Magnoliopsida; Poales; Poaceae. The record is from RNAcentral.